AUUGAACGCUGGCGGCAUGCCUUACACAUGCAAGUCGAACGGCAGCACGGGAGCAAUCCUGGUGGCGAGUGGCGAACGGGUGAGUAAAGUAUCGGAACGUGCCCAGUCGUGGGGGAUAACGUAGCGAAAGUUACGCUAAUACCGCAUACGAUCUAUGGAUGAAAGCGGGGGAUCGCAAGACCUCGCGCGAUCGGAGCGGCCGAUAUCAGAUUAGGUAGUUGGUGGGGUAAAGGCUCACCAAGCCGACGAUCUGUAGCUGGUCUGAGAGGACGACCAGCCACACUGGGACUGAGACACGGCCCAGACUCCUACGGGAGGCAGCAGUGGGGAAUUUUGGACAAUGGGCGAAAGCCUGAUCCAGCCAUGCCGCGUGCAGGAUGAAGGCCUUCGGGUUGUAAACUGCUUUUGUACGGAACGAAAAGGUUUGGCCUAAUAAGCUGAGCUCAUGACGGUACCGUAAGAAUAAGCACUGGCUAACUACGUGCCAGCCGCCGCGGUAA
This 500-nucleotide ribosomal RNA is filed under the name uncultured bacterium. Its description in RNAcentral is "partial 16S ribosomal RNA". It matches the Rfam family "Bacterial small subunit ribosomal RNA", at positions 30 to 523 of the family's 1533-position model. The record is from RNAcentral.